Molecule: ribosomal RNA, 490 nt
Filed under: uncultured bacterium
Lineage: Bacteria
Description: partial 16S ribosomal RNA
Rfam family: Bacterial small subunit ribosomal RNA
Source: RNAcentral
GAUGAACGCUAGCUACAGGCUUAACACAUGCAAGUCGAGGGGAAACGAUGAGAGAGCUUGCUCUCUUAGGCGUCGACCGGCGCACGGGUGAGUAACGCGUAUCCAACCUACCCAUUACAGGGGGAUAACCUUGCGAAAGUAAGACUAAUACCCCAUGGCAUUUUAUGGUGGCAUCAUUAUAGGAUUAAAGAUUUAUUGGUAAUGGAUGGGGAUGCGUCUGAUUAGCUUGUUGGCGGGGUAACGGCCCACCAAGGCAACGAUCAGUAGGGGUUCUGAGAGGAAGGUCCCCCACAUUGGAACUGAGACACGGGCCAAACUCCUACGGGAGGCAGCAGUGAGGAAUAUUGGUCAAUGGGCGAGAGCUUGAACCAGCCAAGUAGCGUGCAGGAUGACGGCCCUAUGGGUUGUAAACUGCUUUUAUAGGGGAAUAAAGUGAGCUACGUGUAGUUUAUUGCAUGUACCCUAUGAAUAAGGACCGGCUAAUUCCGUG